Molecule: ribosomal RNA, 196 nt
Filed under: uncultured bacterium
Lineage: Bacteria
Description: partial 16S ribosomal RNA
Rfam family: Bacterial small subunit ribosomal RNA
Source: RNAcentral
CCUACGGGAGGCAGCAGUGGGGAAUAUUGGACAAUGGGCGCAAGCCUGAUCCAGCAAUACCGCGUGAGGGAUGAAGGCCUUCGGGUCGUAAACCUCUGUCAGUUGGAACGAUGGGUUCUGUAGGUAAUAUUUGCAGAACUUGACGGUACCUUCAAAGGAAGCCCCGGCUAACUCCGUGCCAGCAGCCGCGGUAAUA